AGAUUGAACGCUGGCGGCAUGCUUUACACAUGCAAGUCGAACGGUAACAGGCCGCAAGGUGCUGACGAGUGGCGAACGGGUGAGUAAUGCAUCGGAACGCGCCCAGUCGUGGGGGAUAACGCAGCGAAAGCUGUGCUAAUACCGCAUACGAUCUAUGGAUGAAAGCGGGGGACCGAAAGGCCUCGCGCGAUUGGAGCGGCCGAUGUCAGAUUAGCUAGUUGGUGGGGUAAAGCCCACAAGGCGACGAUCUGUAGCUGGUCUGAGAGGACGACCAGCCACACUGGAACUGAGACACGGUCCAGACUCCUACGGGAGCAGCAGGUGGGGAAUAGUGGACAAGUGGGAC
This 346-nucleotide ribosomal RNA is filed under the name uncultured soil bacterium. RNAcentral's name for it is "bacterial SSU rRNA". It matches the Rfam family "Bacterial small subunit ribosomal RNA", at positions 26 to 378 of the family's 1533-position model. The record is from RNAcentral.